ACGCCGGGUCGAUCGUGUUCUGGAUCGCGGGCCUCGUGCUCUCGGCCUGCGUCGGACCGGCGCAGGCGGCGAGCCGCUCGCUGCUGGCGCG
This 91-nucleotide transfer RNA is filed under the name Microbacterium imperiale. RNAcentral describes it as "tRNA-Thr". The record is from RNAcentral. Lineage: Bacteria; Bacillati; Actinomycetota; Actinomycetes; Micrococcales; Microbacteriaceae.